GUGGGGAAUAUUGGACAAUGGGCGCAAGCCUGAUCCAGCCAUGCCGCGUGAGUGAUGAAGGCCUUAGGGUUGUAAAGCUCUUUCACCGAUGAAGAUAAUGACGGUAGUCGGAGAAGAAGCCCCGGCUAACUUCGUGCCAGCAGCCGCGGUAAUACGAAGGGGGCUAGCGUUGUUCGGAAUUACUGGGCGUAAAGCGCACGUAGGCGGAUAUUUAAGUCAGGGGUGAAAUCCCGCAGCUCAACUGCGGAACUGCCUUUGAUACUGGGUAUCUUGAGUAUGGAAGAGGUAAGUGGAAUUCCGAGUGUAGAGGUGAAAUUCGUAGAUAUUCGGAGGAACACCAGUGGCGAAGGCGGCUUACUGGUCCAUUACUGACGCUGAGGUGCGAAAGCGUGGGGAGCAAACAGGAUUAGAAACCCUUGUAGUCC
Molecule: ribosomal RNA, 425 nt
Filed under: uncultured bacterium
Lineage: Bacteria
Description: bacterial SSU rRNA
Rfam family: Bacterial small subunit ribosomal RNA
Source: RNAcentral